RNAcentral lists this ribosomal RNA (253 nucleotides) under uncultured bacterium. RNAcentral describes it as "partial 16S ribosomal RNA". It matches the Rfam family "Bacterial small subunit ribosomal RNA", at positions 524 to 776 of the family's 1533-position model. The record is from RNAcentral.
UACGUAGGUGGCAAGCGUUGUCCGGAAUCAUUGGGCGUAAAGAGCGUGUAGGCGGCCAGAUAAGUCCGCUGUGAAAACUCGAGGCUCAACUUCGAGCUGUCGGUGGAAACUAUUUGGCUAGAGUCCGGAAGAGGAGAGUGGAAUUCCUGGUGUAGCGGUGAAAUGCGCAGAUAUCAGGAAGAACACCCGUGGCGAAGGCGGCUCUCUGGUACGGAACUGACGCUGAGACGCGAAAGCGUGGGGAGCGAACAGG